Molecule: ribosomal RNA, 460 nt
Filed under: uncultured bacterium
Lineage: Bacteria
Description: partial 16S ribosomal RNA
Rfam family: Bacterial small subunit ribosomal RNA
Source: RNAcentral
CCUACGGGAGGCAGCAGUGAGGAAUAUUGGUCAAUGGGCGCGAGCCUGAACCAGCCAAGUCGCGUGAAGGAUGACUGCCCUACGGGUUGUAAACUUCUUUUAUAAAGGAAUAAAGUGAGGCACGUGUGCCUUUUUGUAUGUACUUUAUGAAUAAGGAUCGGCUAACGCCGUUCCAGCAGCCGCGGUAAUACGGAGGAUCCACGCGUUAUCCGGAUUUAUUGGGUUGAAAGGGAGCGUAGAUGGGUUGUUAAGUCAGUUGUGAAAGUUUGCGGCUCAACCGUAAAAUUGCAAUUGAUACUGGCAGCCUUGAGUACAGUUGAGGUAGGCGGAAUUCGUUGUGUAGCGGUGAAAUGCUUAGAUAUCACGAAGAACUCCGAUUGCGAAGGCAGCUUACUAAACUGCCACUGACAUUGAUGCUCGAAAGUGUGGGUAUCAAACAGGAUUAGAUACCCGGGUAGUC